Molecule: ribosomal RNA, 469 nt
Filed under: uncultured bacterium
Lineage: Bacteria
Description: SSU rRNA
Rfam family: Bacterial small subunit ribosomal RNA
Source: RNAcentral
AGGAUAAACGCUGGCGGCGUGCCUAACACAUGCAAGUCGAACGCGCUUUCGGGCUUCGGUGCGAGAGCGAGUGGCGGACGGGUGAGUAACACAUGGGUACCUACCUUGGAGUGAGGGAUACCGGCGAGAAAUCGCCGACAAUACCGCAUAGGCUUCUUCACAAGGGAAGCAAAGUGACGCGAGUCACGCUUUGAGAUGGGCCUGUGGCCGAUUAGCUAGUUGGGGGGGUAACGGCUUCCCAAGGCGACGAUCGGUAGCUGGUCUGAGAGGACGAUCAGCCACACUGGGAUUGAGAACGGCCCAGACUCCUACGGGGGGCAGCAGUGAGGAAUUUUCCGCAAUGGAGGCAACUCUGACGGAGCAACGCCGCGUGCAGGAGGAAGGUUUCGGAUCGUAAACUGCUUUUCUCGGGGACGAGCAAGGCGGUACCCGAGGAAGAAGCCCCGGCUAACUACGCGCCAGCAGCCGC